GGCGAACGGGUGAGUAACACGUGGGUGAUCUGCCCUGCACUCUGGGAUAAGCCUGGGAAACUGGGUCUAAUACCGGAUAGGACCAUGCUCUAGUGUGUGUGGUGGAAAGUUUUUCGGUGUAGGAUGAGCCCGCGGCCUAUCAGCUUGUUGGUGGGGUAAUGGCCUACCAAGGCGGCGACGGGUAGCCGGACUGAGAGGUUGGUCGGCCACAUUGGGACUGAGAUACGGCCCAG
RNAcentral lists this ribosomal RNA (233 nucleotides) under uncultured Actinomycetales bacterium. Its description in RNAcentral is "partial 16S ribosomal RNA". It matches the Rfam family "Bacterial small subunit ribosomal RNA", at positions 97 to 334 of the family's 1533-position model. The record is from RNAcentral. Lineage: Bacteria; Bacillati; Actinomycetota; Actinomycetes; Actinomycetales.